GUCAAUGGACGCAAGUCUGAACCAGCCAUGCCGCGUGAAGGAUUAAGGCCCUCUGGGUUGUAAACUUCUUUUAUACGGGAAGAAAUGUUCUGAUUCUUCAGAGCUUGACGGUACCAUAGGAAUAAGCACCGGCUAACUCCGUGCCAGCAGCCGCGGUAAUACGGAGGGUGCAAGCGUUAUCCGGAUUCACUGGGUUUAAAGGGUGCGUAGGUGGGCAGAUAAGUCAGUGGUGAAAUCUUCCGGCUUAACCGGAAAAUUGCCGUUGAUACUAUUUGUCUUGAAUAUUGUGGAGGUAAGCGGAAUAUGUCAUGUAGCGGUGAAAUGCUUAGAUAUGACAUAGAACACCAAUUGCGAAGGCAGCUUACUGUAUAAUUAUUGACACUGAGGCACGAAAGCGUGGGUAGCGAAC
Molecule: ribosomal RNA, 409 nt
Filed under: uncultured bacterium
Lineage: Bacteria
Description: bacterial SSU rRNA
Rfam family: Bacterial small subunit ribosomal RNA
Source: RNAcentral